AGAGUUUGAUCAUGGCUCAGGAUGAACGCUGGCGGCGUGCUUAACACAUGCAAGUCGAACGAAGAUGCCGGAGUGCUUGCACUUUGGCAGACUGAGUGGCGGACGGGUGAGUAACGCGUGGGUAACCUGCCUUAUACAGGGGGAUAACAGUUGGAAACGACUGCUAAUACCGCAUAAGCGCACGGUAUCGCAUGAUACAGUGUGAAAAACUCCGGUGGUAUAAGAUGGACCCGNGUCUGAUUAGCUUGUUGGUGAGGUAACGGCCCACAAGGCGACGAUCAGUAGCCGGCCUGAGAGGGUGAACGGCCACAUUGGGACUGAGACACGGCCCAAACUCCUACGGGAGCA
This 348-nucleotide ribosomal RNA is filed under the name uncultured bacterium. RNAcentral describes it as "bacterial SSU rRNA". It matches the Rfam family "Bacterial small subunit ribosomal RNA", at positions 8 to 349 of the family's 1533-position model. The record is from RNAcentral.